GUCUUCAGAGUCAUUAUCCCCUUGUUCUUCUACAGGACCAUCAGAAAGAAUCAGGCUUUCUCCUGCACUUACAUCCUCUUCCUCAACACUUUGAAAGUCCCUUUCAUCUGGACUUGAGGUAGGAGGAUUUUCAUGUGACACACUAUUCUCCAAUAGCUUGUCCAUGUAAUGUCUGUACAUACAAUUAGGUCUUUCACCUUCUGACUCAGAGGAUGACUCUGUUAAGUCUACAGGUUCCUUCUGCCUGUGCACUAUUGAGUGUCCCUUUCCUGACCUUAAUCUUGUGUUUCCACUUUUUGUUGUCUCAGCACUCACAGUACUAUCCAACAUCCUCACCCAUUGUCCAAUAGGCAAGAGGUGGUCGCGAUGAAGAGUCCUCACUCUGCCACUCCGACCCAGUUCAGGUCUCACUUUAUAUACCGGCAAUGCCCCAUAUCAUCAUGAAGAGACCUUAUUACUGCCUCUCGGAAUUCUCCCGGCAACACCAUCUGGUAAGUUUCUGCCCCAGCCAGAUUCUUGCUACAUCUAUGAAGCAGCCCAUCCUUCAGUAUCAACCGUGCCAUCUCACGCUUCAUUAAUCCUAACUUAGAAUUGCUGUCUACCCCAACAGGCCACUUCCCCUUUUCCAAAGCAGACAUCACAGCACCUAGGGUAGUAUCAUCCUUCUGAGAUUUGACCAUUUCAGCAUGUGACUUCUGCUCCAGAUAAGGACAACUAAGGUGAGUGGGAAAUGCAAAUGCAUCAGGAAUACAUUCAGAUGAAGGACAUAACUGCUCUACAUACCUAGUUGAACUAUCAGGGAAGGUAUCCGCACAGACCCUCUGGCAUAUGGAUCUGACUCCGGUCUCUGAUAUGCACUGCCAGUUCUCUCCAUCUCCAAACCCACGGCGGGACAAUAAAUCAGCAUCAACAUUUGUCUUUCCAGGUCGAUACUGAAUAUCAAAAUCGUACGUGGCCAAAGACGCCAACCAACGAUGCCCAGUGGCAUUCAGCUUCGCUGUGGUCAGAACAUAUGUGAGCGGAUUAUUGUCGGUGCGGACCGUGAAUUUAGCCCCAUAGAGGUAGUCAUGGAAUUUAUCCACGACUGCCCACUUCAAGGCCAAAAACUCCAGUUGAUGAAUGGGAUACUUUUGUUCAGCGUUACUUAGCUUUCUACUGGCAAAGGCCACAGGCCGUAAACCAGUAGAAUGCUCCUGAUACAAAACCGCGCCUAACCCUUGCAAACACGCAUCAACAUGCAAGAUAUACUGCUUAUUGGGAUCUGCA
This is a long non-coding RNA of Cyprinus carpio carpio, 1266 nucleotides long. NCBI's taxonomy places the organism in Eukaryota, Metazoa, Chordata, Actinopteri, Cypriniformes, Cyprinidae. The record is from Ensembl.